GCCGAGCUGGCCUGGAUUCCCACCAUGGCCUGGACCCCGCUCUUCCUCGCACUGGUCACCUAUUUCUCUGGUUCCCUUGCCCAGUACGUGGUGACACAGCCGCCUUCAGUGUCUGUGUCUCCAGGACAAACUGCUCGUCUCACCUGCUCUGGGAACAACAUUGGUAGCAAGAGUGUGCACUGGUACCAGCAGAAACCUGGCAGUGCCCCUCUACUCAUUAUAUAUGGUGAUAGCAAGAGACCCUCCGGCAUCCCUGACCGAUUCUCUGGUGCCAACUCCGGCAACACGGCCACAUUGACCAUCACUGGAGUUCAAGCCCAGGAUGAAGCUGAUUAUUAUUGUGUGGCAGCAGGCUCCAGGUCACAGUCUCUGCUGACUCAGCCACCCUCCAUGUCGGUGCACCCAGGAAACACCGUGAACCUCGACUGCUGUAUCCACAGUGGGAGCAGCAGCAGUGGCUACAGAGUGUACUGGUACCAGCAGAAACCUAGCUCUCCCCCGCGGUACCUCCUGAGACACACAUCGGAUUCAGACAAGCACCGGGCCCACGGGCUCCCCGCUCGCUUCUCCAGAUCCAAGGAGCUGUCCAGGAACACCUGCUCUCUAAACAUCUCAGGGGUCCUCACAGAGGACAAGACUGUUAUUACUGUGGCAUGUGAUUACCAGUUACAAGGGCCCUGA
Molecule: non-coding RNA, 681 nt
Organism: Alligator mississippiensis (American alligator)
Lineage: Eukaryota; Metazoa; Chordata; Crocodylia; Alligatoridae
Source: the annotation of a RefSeq genome assembly